Molecule: non-coding RNA, 32 nt
Filed under: Rattus norvegicus (Norway rat)
Lineage: Eukaryota; Metazoa; Chordata; Mammalia; Rodentia; Muridae
Source: RNAcentral
UCUCUAGAUCCAAACCCUACGAGGAUGGGAAC